GGGCGAAUAGCUCAGCUGGUUAGAGCGCUUCUCUUACAAAGAAGAGGUCGUAGGUUCGAGUCCUAUUUCGCCCACCU
Molecule: transfer RNA, 77 nt
Filed under: Chloroflexota bacterium
Lineage: Bacteria; Bacillati; Chloroflexota
Description: Chloroflexi bacterium (freshwater metagenome) tRNA-Val
Rfam family: tRNA
About the family: Transfer RNA (tRNA) molecules are approximately 80 nucleotides in length. Their secondary structure includes four short double-helical elements and three loops (D, anti-codon, and T loops).
Source: RNAcentral